This 482-nucleotide unclassified non-coding RNA is filed under the name Hevea brasiliensis (rubber tree). The record is from RNAcentral. Lineage: Eukaryota; Viridiplantae; Streptophyta; Magnoliopsida; Malpighiales; Euphorbiaceae.
GUCGACAACAAAAUGGAAAUAUGAAUUAACUCGCAAUUCAAAAUAUUCACAAUCUAAAUUUACCACAAAAUUAUAGUUGAGAAGAUUAUCUGCAGAAUGGACAAGAAUUUAUAUGUGUGUUAAUGGUUAAAUUAGAAGGAUAUAAUUCGAAAUGGUUAAUUUCUUGCUACAGGCAGUGAAUAGCGAUGCUUCAUUUUGUCUGUAAAUGUUAAAAGAGAACAAAUGUGCAAAAAUCUUCCAAAUAGAACACGGAAUCGCAGCAGAGGCUCACUUGCGAAAAAGCAAUAAUAUCAAUCCUGGAAAUAGUGCAUGGAAAAGGGCUCAAAGCAUAGAAUAUAUAUAAACACUAAGAGAGAGAGAAUGGAGGAAAAAUUAAUAGUGGAGCAGCACGAGAGAGAGAGAGCAUACUUUAGUGGUUGACCUCGUCCUUUAAUGGGCUUAACAGACAAAAGUUGUGAAAAACCACUUUUUUUUUUUUUUUU